GAUGAACGCUGGCGGCGUGCCUAAUACAUGCAAGUCGAGCGGCAGCACGGUCUUCGGACUGGUGGCGAGCGGCGGACGGGUGAGUAACGCGUAGGAACGUACCCCAAAGCGAGGGAUAACUGCUCGAAAGAGUAGCUAAUACCGCAUGUGAUCUAAGGAGUAAAGCUUCGGCGCUUGGGGAACGGCCUGCGUCCGAUUAGCUAGUUGGUGAGGUAAAAGCUCACCAAGGCGACGAUCGGUAGCUGGUCUGAGAGGAUGAUCAGCCAGACUGGGACUGAGACACGGCCCAGACUCCUACGGGAGGCAGCAGUAGGGAAUUUUCCACAAUGGGCGAAAGCCUGAUGGAGCAACGCCGCGUGCAGGAUGAAUGCCUUCGGGUUGUAAACUGCUUUUAUAUGUGACGAAUAUGACGGUAGCAUAUGAAUAAGGAUCGGCUAACUCCGUGCCAGCCGCCGCCGUAA
RNAcentral lists this ribosomal RNA (461 nucleotides) under uncultured bacterium. Its description in RNAcentral is "partial 16S ribosomal RNA". It matches the Rfam family "Bacterial small subunit ribosomal RNA", at positions 28 to 523 of the family's 1533-position model. The record is from RNAcentral.